RNAcentral lists this ribosomal RNA (484 nucleotides) under uncultured bacterium. Its description in RNAcentral is "partial 16S ribosomal RNA". It matches the Rfam family "Bacterial small subunit ribosomal RNA", at positions 30 to 507 of the family's 1533-position model. The record is from RNAcentral.
AUUGAACGCUGGCGGCAGGCCUAACACAUGCAAGUCGAGCGGAUGAAGGGAGCUUGCUCUUGGAUUCAGCGGCGGACGGGUGAGUAAUGCCUAGGAAUCUGCCUGGUAGUGGGGGAUAACGUCCGGAAACGGGCGCUAAUACCGCAUACGUCCUGAGGGAGAAAGUGGGGGAUCUUCGGACCUCACGCUAUCAGAUGAGCCUAGGUCGGAUUAGCUAGUUGGUGGGGUAAAGGCCUACCAAGGCGACGAUCCGUAACUGGUCUGAGAGGAUGAUCAGUCACACUGGAACUGAGACACGGUCCAGACUCCUACGGGAGGCAGCAGUGGGGAAUAUUGGACAAUGGGCGAAAGCCUGAUCCAGCCAUGCCGCGUGUGUGAAGGAGGUCUUCGGAUUGUAAAGCACUUUAAGUUGGGAGGAAGGGCAGUAAGUUAAUACCUUGCUGUUUUGACGUUACCAACAGAAUAAGCACCGGCUAACUUCGUG